UACGGAGGGUGCAAGCGUUGUCCGGAUUUAUUGGGUUUAAAGGGUGCGUAGGUGGGUUGGUAAGUCAGUGGUGAAAUCUCCGUGCUUAACAUGGAAACUGCCAUUGAUACUACUGGUCUUGAAUUUUUCCGGAGGUAAGCGGAAUAUGUCAUGUAGCGGUGAAAUGCUUAGAUAUGACAUAGAACACCAAUUGCGAAGGCAGCUUACUACAGGGACAUUGACACUGAGGCACGAAAGCGUGGGGGAUCAAACAGG
Molecule: ribosomal RNA, 255 nt
Filed under: uncultured bacterium
Lineage: Bacteria
Description: partial 16S ribosomal RNA
Rfam family: Bacterial small subunit ribosomal RNA
Source: RNAcentral